This 803-nucleotide ribosomal RNA is filed under the name uncultured bacterium. Its description in RNAcentral is "bacterial SSU rRNA". It matches the Rfam family "Bacterial small subunit ribosomal RNA", at positions 72 to 914 of the family's 1533-position model. The record is from RNAcentral.
UUGAGUCGCAAGACAAGACAGUGGCAGACGGGUGAGUAACGCGUAGGAAUCUAUCCCUGGGUGGAGCAUAGCCUUCCGAAAGGAAAGGUAAUUCUCCAUAGUUCUCGUAAGAGUAAAGGACUUAACGGUCCGCCGAGGGGGGAGCCUGCGUCCUAUCAGCUAGUUGGCGGGGUAAAGGCCCACCAAGGCGAUGACGGGUAGCUGGACUGAGAGGUCGAUCAGCCACAACUGCACUGAGACACGGGCAGUACAUCUACGGAUGGCAGCAACCAGGAAUAUUGCGCAAUGGACGAAAGUCUGACGCAGCGACGCCGCGUGGAGGAUGAAGGCCCUCGGGUUGUAAACUCCUUUUACCAAGCCGUUCACAGCUUGGAGAAUAAGCCCCUACUAACUACGUGCCAGAAGUCUCGGUAAUACGUAGGGGGCAAGCGUUAUCCGGAUUUAUUGGGCGUAAAGUGUGCGUAGGCGUUCCAUAAAGUCUUCACUUAAAUACCGAGGCUUAACCUCGGGACUGGUGGAGAUACUCAUGGAAUUGAGGAUUGGUAAGGAUGCUGGAACAGUUAGUGUAGCAGUGAAAUGCGUUGAUAUUAACUGGAACACCAAGGGCGAAGGCAAGCAUCUGUACUUUUCCUGACGCUGAGGCACGAAAGCUAGGGUAGCGAAACAGAUUAGAUACCUGUGUAGUCCUAGCCGUAAACGAUGUCCGCUGGCUCUUGCCGACUUGUCGGCAGGGGUCUAAGCUAACGCAUUAAGCGGACCGCCUGGGGAGUACGGCCGCAAGGCUAAAACUCAAAGGAAUUGAC